Molecule: non-coding RNA, 68 nt
Filed under: Acutalibacter sp. 1XD8-33
Lineage: Bacteria; Bacillati; Bacillota; Clostridia; Eubacteriales; Acutalibacteraceae
Source: RNAcentral
AGCCGAAACGCUCCGCUGGGGGCGUUCACCGAGGAAUGGCCUCCCGGUGCUGAAGAUGGCAGGCCAGA